UACGUAGGGGGCUAGCGUUGUCCGGAUUUAUUGGGCGUAAAGAGCGUGUAGGCGGCCAGGUAGGUCUGGUGUGAAAACUCGAGGCUUAACCUCGAGAUGUCAUCGGAAACCAUCUGGCUAGAGUCCGGAAGAGGAGAGUGGAAUUCCUGGUGUAGCGGUGAAAUGCGCAGAUAUCAGGAAGAACACCAAUGGCGAAAGCAGCUCUCUGGGACGGUACUGACGCUGAGGCACGAAAGCGUGGGGAGCAAACAGG
This 253-nucleotide ribosomal RNA is filed under the name uncultured bacterium. RNAcentral describes it as "partial 16S ribosomal RNA". It matches the Rfam family "Bacterial small subunit ribosomal RNA", at positions 524 to 776 of the family's 1533-position model. The record is from RNAcentral.